This 755-nucleotide long non-coding RNA is filed under the name Olea europaea subsp. europaea. The record is from RNAcentral. Lineage: Eukaryota; Viridiplantae; Streptophyta; Magnoliopsida; Lamiales; Oleaceae.
CUAUUAUAUAGCUUCUUCUUUACUUCAUUUGCCAUUCGUGUUUUUUUUUCUCAGCAGUAAUUGUACGUCCAGCUUCUUAGCUUUGCCAUCUUCGUUGAUCAGGUCUCUCUCUCUCUCAGCUUGUUGGUGUUCGCUUGUUGUUUAGCUAGAGCCCAGCUUCUCAGUUGUUACUGCUAGACUAACAAGUUGCACAGAGAUCCGCAAAUGAGAAACAAGGACAAAAAUCAUUUCUUAUUUAUUUUUAAUCAACAGUAUUAUUACCAAUGUUUAAAAGGAAAAAAAAUGUCAUAAAACGAUGAACGAGCAUUUUACAACUAUUAGUUUUAGCAUAAUCUAUCACUAUCAGCUAGUUAUCGAUGAAGCUGAUGAGUUUAGUGAUUGGUCUAUUUAAUCCAUACUGGUCAAAUUUUAAUUAUUUUUCUUGAUUGUCGAGUUUCACCUUAAUAUAUGUUCUGAUUAAGGUCAAAUUUUGUUUAAGAAGUUUGAAUUAAAAUCAUAUUUAUAUAAAUUUACUUUCUGCUAAUUAGCAUGGUCCAACCAUGAAACUGCAGAGAUCACUAAAGAACAGUAUAAGUUUCGAAGAAAAAAUAUGUGGAAGCUUAAGAUUGCUGAAGGACAUGGACCAUAUUUGUAUAGCACCAACAAUUUUGCUGGCAGACAAAUUUGGGAGUACGACCCUAAUGGCGGAACACCAGAAGAAAGAGAAGCAUAUGAUAAGCUCGCGAAGAAUUCCAGAGAAAUCGAAAAUUAAAGGG